This is a long non-coding RNA of Dreissena polymorpha, 1229 nucleotides long. RefSeq lists it as uncharacterized. NCBI's taxonomy places the organism in Eukaryota, Metazoa, Mollusca, Bivalvia, Myida, Dreissenidae. The record is from RefSeq and is a predicted model, not a curated record. The transcript is spliced from 5 exons.
GAUAGAUUACUCAAUAAAUCGUCUGCUUAUCCAGAGUAAUGACUGAGUUUAUAACAAUAACUUCCGUUUCGCUGUGUUUACAUUGGAGACCGAAGGACAUUUAAAUCAGACGAAAUGCCUUGUACUCGUAAAAAAAUGCGUAGUCGAAUUAAUACGGUGGAUCCUAGACUGGCCGAUGUAUGGCACCUUCGCGAUCGACCAAGUGAUGUAUGGGAUCAACGAGCGACAAAAUACAGACACCAGUCACUCUUUGAGACAAUUGCAACGAGAUUCAAAAGUUACCAUCCUGAUAGCCAGGCACAGAUCUGCACGAUAACUGGAUUUGUCUCCGGAUCCGUGUCCGGAUACGUUUGAGUAUACUUUGGCAAAACAGUGGCUAUCUGCACAGGAUUCACGGCAAUUUGCUUCAUGGUGGCGAACGGUCUGGAUUACGUGAAAAUAAAUUGGCCAAAAAUUGCACGGCAUUUCACAAGCGGAAUUGAAUGGCUCUCUUCUGUUAUAAGCCAGAACAUAAAGUUGACAUGCUUUUUUGGGGUCAGCUUUGCUUGGGGACUGUUUUGGACUGUAGCAAUUUGGUGGGAUUACAAAGAAUUCACUUCAAGUUUACAAAGGUCUUCGACCGUACCCUCUCCAAGUGUGAACUACACUCACAACUGAACGCACAAUCCUAUACCAGACGAUAAUGGAAAGUCCGUUGUCGUUUGCGGGCCGGUUGGCCGCAGCCAAAUUUCGUCCACAUUCCGAGUCAAUCUAAAAAAUUUCAUAGGGUAGCGAAGAGUAAAUCAGCAUGCUCUAAGAUAAGGUAAAUUUGUAAUCCACGUUUGUGAUGAAUUAGAAUUAUAAGUAAAGAACACGCAUUGUGAAUAAAUAAACAUUUUAUUUUUGCCUUAUUUUUCAAAGAAUGUUUAUCCCGGAAUUCUGUCAGAUUGUCUUAAGUAGUCCAAGUACAUAUACAUAACCCGAAUCAUGUGACUGUGUUAACUAUAUAUGUCUCCGUCAUCGUUGAGGCGCAUUUUAAUGAGGCUAGUUAAGAACUACGGUUUUUUGUAAAGAACUGAACGCAUUUUAAUGUUCACUGCUAACUGAAUUAUCAUACUAUUGUAACUAUCUGUUGAAGUAUCUGUCUAACUGUUAACAUUAUAUGAGUGCAGAACUCAAACAAUUAAUUUGUUUAUGCAUGUACAUCGAAGGUAUUUUACCAAAUUUAAAUAAAAAAAUAGUAAAUUGGA